RNAcentral lists this ribosomal RNA (97 nucleotides) under Priestia flexa. The record is from RNAcentral. Lineage: Bacteria; Bacillati; Bacillota; Bacilli; Caryophanales; Bacillaceae.
AGGUCACACCCGUUCCCAUGCCGAACACGGAAGUUAAGUUCUCUAGCGCCGAUGGUAGUUGGGACUUUGUCCCUGUGAGAGUAGGACGUUGCCAGAU